RNAcentral lists this ribosomal RNA (253 nucleotides) under uncultured bacterium. RNAcentral's name for it is "partial 16S ribosomal RNA". It matches the Rfam family "Bacterial small subunit ribosomal RNA", at positions 524 to 776 of the family's 1533-position model. The record is from RNAcentral.
UACGUAGGGUGCGAGCGUUGUCCGGAAUUAUUGGGCGUAAAGAGCUUGUAGGCGGUCUGUCGCGUCUGCUGUGAAAAUCCGGGGCUCAACCCCGGACUUGCAGUGGGUACGGGCAGACUAGAGUGUGGUAGGGGAGACUGGAAUUCCUGGUGUAGCGGUGAAAUGCGCAGAUAUCAGGAGGAACACCGAUGGCGAAGGCGGGUCUCUGGGCCGAUACUGACGCUGAGGAGCGAAAGCGUGGGGAGCAAACAGG